This 483-nucleotide ribosomal RNA is filed under the name uncultured bacterium. RNAcentral describes it as "partial 16S ribosomal RNA". It matches the Rfam family "Bacterial small subunit ribosomal RNA", at positions 30 to 506 of the family's 1533-position model. The record is from RNAcentral.
AUUGAACGCUGGCGGCAGGCCUAACACAUGCAAGUCGAGCGGAUGAAGGGAGCUUGCUCCUGGAUUCAGCGGCGGACGGGUGAGUAAUGCCUAGGAAUCUGCCUGGUAGUGGGGGAUAACGUCCGGAAACGGGCGCUAAUACCGCAUACGUCCUGAGGGAGAAAGUGGGGGAUCUUCGGACCUCACGCCAUCAGAUGAGCCUAGGUCGGAUUAGCUGGUUGGUGGGGUAAAGGCCUACCAAGGCGACGAUCCGUAACUGGUCUGAGAGGAUGAUCAGUCACACUGGAGCUGAGACACGGUCCAGACUCCGACGGGAGGCAGCGGUGGGGAAUAUUGGACAAUGGGCGAAAGCCUGAUCCAGCCAUGCCGCGUGUGUGAAGAAGGUCUUCGGAUUGUAAAGCACUUUAAGUUGGGAGGAAGGGCAGUAAGUUAAUACCUUGCUGUUUGGACGUUACCAACAGAAUAAGCACCGGCUAACUUCGU